GACAGGAGGAGCAAGCGUUAUUCAGCUUGAUUGGGCGUAAAGGGUACGUAGGUGGUUAAUCAAAGUAUUGGUGAAAUUCAAGGAUACAAAUCUCGUUGGUUGCUUUUACAAUUAAUUAACUAGAGUCGCGGGGAUGUUUGCAGGAACUGCCCAAGGAGUGUUAAAAUACUGAGAUAGGGGUAGGAACACUGAUUGCGAAGGCAACAAGCAAAUCGAUGACUGACGCUGAGGUACGAAGGCGUGGGGAGCA
This 250-nucleotide ribosomal RNA is filed under the name uncultured bacterium. Its description in RNAcentral is "partial 16S ribosomal RNA". It matches the Rfam family "Bacterial small subunit ribosomal RNA", at positions 524 to 770 of the family's 1533-position model. The record is from RNAcentral.